This 106-nucleotide non-coding RNA is filed under the name Streptacidiphilus jiangxiensis. RNAcentral describes it as "SAM-IV sequence". It matches the Rfam family "SAM (S-adenosyl methionine) riboswitch aptamer". Rfam says of the family: SAM-IV is a mRNA element that regulates gene expression via direct sensing of S-adenosylmethionine (SAM or AdoMet). SAM-IV riboswitches share conserved nucleotide positions with the previously described SAM-I riboswitches sequence analysis and molecular recognition experiments suggest that SAM-I and SAM-IV riboswitches share similar ligand binding sites, but have different scaffolds. The record is from Rfam by way of RNAcentral. Lineage: Bacteria; Bacillati; Actinomycetota; Actinomycetes; Kitasatosporales; Streptomycetaceae.
GGUCAUGAGCGUCAGCGUCAAGCCCUGGCUUGCUGACCGGCAACCCUCCCCACGCGGCGGGGUGCCCCAGGUGAGGACCGGACCGAACUGUCGGUAAGCGCGAUGC